GCUCACCAAGGCGACGACGGGUAGCCGGCCUGAGAGGGCGACCGGCCACACUGGGACUGAGACACGGCCCAGACUCCUACGGGAGGCAGCAGUGGGGAAUAUUGCACAAUGGGCGAAAGCCUGAUGCAGCGACGCCGCGUGAGGGAUGACGGCCUUCGGGUUGUAAACCUCUUUCAGCAGGGAAGAAGCGAGAGUGACGGUACCUGCAGAAGAAGCGCCGGCUAACUACGUGCCAGCAGCCGCGGUAAUACGUAGGGCGCAAGCGUUGUCCGGAAUUAUUGGGCGUAAAGAGCUCGUAGGCGGCUUGUCACGUCGGUUGUGAAAGCCCGGGGCUUAACCCCGGGUCUGCAGUCGAUACGGGCAGGCUAGAGUUCGGUAGGGGAGAUCGGAAUUCCUGGUGUAGCGGUGAAAUGCGCAGAUAUCAGGAGGAACACCGGUGGCGAAGGCGGAUCUCUGGGCCGAUACUGACGCUGAGGAGCGAAAGCGUGGGGAGCGAACAGGAUUAGAUACCCUGGUAGUCCACGCCGUAAACGGUGGGCACUAGGUGUGGGCAACAUUCCACGUUGUCCGUGCCGCAGCUAACGCAUUAAGUGCCCCGCCUGGGGAGUACGG
RNAcentral lists this ribosomal RNA (612 nucleotides) under uncultured Actinomycetes bacterium. Its description in RNAcentral is "bacterial SSU rRNA". It matches the Rfam family "Bacterial small subunit ribosomal RNA", at positions 263 to 885 of the family's 1533-position model. The record is from RNAcentral. Lineage: Bacteria; Bacillati; Actinomycetota; Actinomycetes.